This 320-nucleotide ribosomal RNA is filed under the name uncultured Prevotella sp. RNAcentral describes it as "partial 16S ribosomal RNA". Lineage: Bacteria; Pseudomonadati; Bacteroidota; Bacteroidia; Bacteroidales; Prevotellaceae. The record is from RNAcentral.
GGAGUUUGGUCCGUGUCUCAGUACCAAUGUGGGGGACCUUCCUCUCAGAACCCCUACUGAUCGAUGGCUUGGUGGGCCGUUACCCCGCCAACAACCUAAUCAGACGCAUCCCCAUCCCUUAGCGGUAAACCUUUGCUUCUCGUCAGAUGCCAUCAAAGAAGAACAUAGAGCAUUAAUCCGACUUUCGCCGGGCUAUUCUCUACUAAGGGCCAGGUUGGAUACGCGUUACUCACCCGUGCGCCGGUCGCCAUCAAAGUUUGCAAGCAAACUUCAUGCUGCCCCUCGACUUGCAUGUGUUAAGCCUGUAGCUAGCGUUCAUC